Molecule: ribosomal RNA, 253 nt
Filed under: uncultured bacterium
Lineage: Bacteria
Description: partial 16S ribosomal RNA
Rfam family: Bacterial small subunit ribosomal RNA
Source: RNAcentral
UACGAAGGGUGCAAGCGUUAAUCGGAAUUACUGGGCGUAAAGCGUGCGUAGGCGGUUUCUUAAGUCUGCUGUGAAAGCCCCGGGCUCAACCUGGGAAUGGCGGUGGAUACUGAGAAGCUGGAGUACGGUAGAGGAAGGUGGAAUUCCCGGUGUAGCGGUGAAAUGCGUAGAGAUCGGGAGGAACAUCAGUGGCGAAGGCGGCCUUCUGGACCAGUACUGACGCUGAGGCACGAAAGCGUGGGGAGCGAACAGG